AGUGGUUAAUAAUUUGGCUGCUAACCAAAAGAUUGGUAGUUCACAUCUACCAGCCACUC
Molecule: transfer RNA, 59 nt
Organism: Loxodonta africana (African savanna elephant)
Lineage: Eukaryota; Metazoa; Chordata; Mammalia; Proboscidea; Elephantidae
Rfam family: tRNA
About the family: Transfer RNA (tRNA) molecules are approximately 80 nucleotides in length. Their secondary structure includes four short double-helical elements and three loops (D, anti-codon, and T loops).
Source: Rfam